UUGCAGGGAGAAGCAAGCUUGAAGUUCCUAUUGUGUUUAUGGCUGUGGAGGUUCGUCUCGCCAUCCUACGCAAGGUCCGGCAUAUCUGAGCAGAAGUUUGAAAUGAAGAAGCAUUUGAAAUGGCUGAACAAAUCUGCUGUCAAGAGCAUUCGGGUAAGAUAAAUCUAUUAUCUUUUUUUUUUGUUUUGAGUAUUUUCUGCUUGGGCUGAUUUUGGUAAGUAUCAUAUUCCGAUUUCUACUUCUUUUACCUUUUGGAUAUUUUUUUUUUAAUUUUUGUUCUAAUUGAACAAUAAGUUCAAAUUGUGUCGAGAUUUUUUUUAAGGUUUAUCUAAAGAAAGUUUAUAACUUUUGGAUGUUGUAAACAAACCCAGAAGGAGAUGUAAUUGCAUGUGUUCCUAUCACAAAGCAACCAGCUUUUGACCAUUCGUUACUCAAAGAUAUUUAGGUACAUAGAUACAACGAAUACUUAGAUUUUCUUUAGGCUUUGUGUUUUAUGUUUUAUGUGCUGAUGGUUAGUUUAAUUUACUUGCGGUUCCUUCUUUAGAUGAAGCAUAAUUACCAUCCUGUGGGACUCUUUGAUAACAACAAACUGUCUUUACGAAGUCAUAAAUAGAAGGACAUACAUAUCCCUCAGUUAUGGCAUCGAUAUGGUAAAUGUGCCGAAGGAAUCAUUCCCAUGAGGAUGACAAAGGAAGAUGUUGUCUUGAGAGAAAGUUCAUACAAAAGAUAUGGCAUGAAGAAGCAUAGAACUUUCUCGUUUCCUAAAUCUGAGGAACAUGACCUCAUGAACCAGUGAUCAUCAGAUGAGUAAAAGUUUUUUUUUUUUUUGUUGAUUUCUUGAUCUGAGAUGUGUUAUUUGUUUUGGUUUGUUGAACUGUAGAAUGACAUAGCUUAUGUGGAAGGGGAUAAUUACUAUGGAGCUAAAGCAACUACAAUGUGUGGGAGCCAAAGAUACAACAGCAGCACGAGUUCACCUUCUUGAAGAUAUGGCUUCUCAGUGACUUAUUCAGAAAAUAUCUUAACAGCAUAGAAGCUGGUUGGCAGGUUAGCCGGAUUUAUAUGGUGACAAUAAUACAAGGCUCUUCACUUACUGGACUGUAGGUUCCUGAGACUAUUGUAUAAUCAGAUUCUUAUGCUCAUGUGCUUCUGUUCCUUAUAAGCUUACCGAGUGUACCUGCUAACCACCGUUUAAUCAUCUCUAUUACUAGACUGUUCAUAGGGGUUCUUUCAAGUCUUAUUUCUCUACACAAACACAUAUUUAUUAUCGGAUAUUGUUCGCUCUCCGUUUCUCACAUGUGCAAUUACAAAGUACUUCUUAACCUCCUCAUUCAAGUGUCUUUAUAUGUUAUAUAUGGGCUCAUCUCUUAUAAUUUGCUUAUGGAUCCUCACAACAGAGGUCAGAGUCUU
Brassica rapa (field mustard) is the source of this 1407-nucleotide long non-coding RNA. RefSeq lists it as uncharacterized. Lineage: Eukaryota; Viridiplantae; Streptophyta; Magnoliopsida; Brassicales; Brassicaceae. The record is from RefSeq and is a predicted model, not a curated record.